This 327-nucleotide ribosomal RNA is filed under the name uncultured bacterium. RNAcentral's name for it is "bacterial SSU rRNA". It matches the Rfam family "Bacterial small subunit ribosomal RNA", at positions 568 to 898 of the family's 1533-position model. The record is from RNAcentral.
CAUGUAGCGGCCUUAUAAGCCUGGCGUGAAAGUCACCGGCUCAACCGGUGGAUUGCGCUGGGAACUGUAGGGCUUGAAUCAUGGAGAGGGAGCUAGAAUUCCUGGUGUAGGGGUGAAAUCUGUAGAGAUCAGGAAGAAUACCAGUGGCGAAGGCGAGCUCCUGGCCAAUGAUUGACGCUGAGGUGCGAAAGUGUGGGGAUCAAACAGGAUUAGAUACCCUGGUAGUCCACACUGUAAACGAUGUGCACUAGGUGCUGGGGCGGAUGCUUCAGUGCCGGAGCUAACGCGGUAAGUGCACCGCCUGGGGAGUAUGCUCGCAAGGGUGAA